UCCAAUCAGAUGACUGCGAGAGCGCAUGACUGUUAAUCAUGAUGCCACUGGUUCAAGUCCAGUAACAGGAGCCA
This 74-nucleotide transfer RNA is filed under the name Ruminococcus sp. RNAcentral's name for it is "tRNA-Asn". It matches the Rfam family "tRNA", at positions 12 to 71 of the family's 71-position model. Rfam says of the family: Transfer RNA (tRNA) molecules are approximately 80 nucleotides in length. Their secondary structure includes four short double-helical elements and three loops (D, anti-codon, and T loops). The record is from RNAcentral. Lineage: Bacteria; Bacillati; Bacillota; Clostridia; Eubacteriales; Oscillospiraceae.